This 374-nucleotide unclassified non-coding RNA is filed under the name soil metagenome. RNAcentral describes it as "partial contains internal transcribed spacer 2 and large subunit ribosomal RNA". The stretch from base 1 to 120 matches the Rfam family "5.8S ribosomal RNA", at positions 35 to 154 of the family's 154-position model. The record is from RNAcentral.
GAUGAAGAACGUAGCGAAAUGCGAUAAUUAAUGUGAAUUGCAGAAUUCCGUGAAUCAUCGAGUCUUUGAACGCACAUUGCGCCUUAUGGCAUUGCGUGAGGCAUGCCCAUCUCAGCGUUAGAAAAUAUUCUCAAAUUUUAGAUUUGUGCUAAAAUUUGGAUCAUGUCAAGGAAGCUAUUACUAUUAUUGUGAUCGCUCUUUGGAAAUUGAUAGGUCUUUGAGUUGCUACUCAUAGAACGUGAUGAAUCUUUCUUCGUUCUAUUGUAAUUCACUCUGGUAGUCCUAAAACUUGUAUGCCUGUUGCAUAUCUUGUAAUUUGACCUGAGAUUGGGUAGGGAUACCCGCUGAACUUAAGCAUAUCAAUAAGCGGAGGA